This 253-nucleotide ribosomal RNA is filed under the name uncultured bacterium. Its description in RNAcentral is "partial 16S ribosomal RNA". It matches the Rfam family "Bacterial small subunit ribosomal RNA", at positions 524 to 776 of the family's 1533-position model. The record is from RNAcentral.
UACAGAGGUGGCAAGCGUUGUUCGGAAUUACUGGGCGUAAAGGGCGCGUAGGCGGCCAUCUAAGUCAGACGUGAAAUCCCCCGGCUUAACCUGGGAACUGCGUCUGAUACUGGCAAGCUUGAGUGCAGGAGAGGAACGCGGAAUUCCAGGUGUAGCGGUGAAAUGCGUAGAUAUCUGGAGGAACACCCGUAGCGAAGGCGGCACUCUGGGCCGAUACUGACACUGAGGAGCGAAAGCGUGGGGAGCGAACAGG